GAUGAACGCUGGCGGCGUGCUUAACACAUGCAAGUCGAACGGGAUCCAUCAAGCUUGCUUGGUGGUGAGAGUGGCGAACGGGUGAGUAAUGCGUGACCGACCUGCCCCAUGCUCCGGAAUAGCUCCUGGAAACGGGUGGUAAUGCCGGAUGUUCCACAUGAUCGCAUGUGAUUGUGGGAAAGAUUCUAUCGGCGUGGGAUGGGGUCGCGUCCUAUCAGCUUGUUGGUGAGGUAACGGCUCACCAAGGCUUCGACGGGUAGCCGGCCUGAGAGGGCGACCGGCCACAUUGGGACUGAGAUACGGCCCAGACUCCUACGGGAGGCAGCAGUGGGGAAUAUUGCACAAUGGGCGCAAGCCUGAUGCAGCGACGCCGCGUGAGGGAUGGAGGCCUUCGGGUUGUAAACCUCUUUUGUUUGGGAGCAAGCCUUCGGGUGAGUGUACCUUUCGAAUAAGCGC
This 456-nucleotide ribosomal RNA is filed under the name uncultured bacterium. RNAcentral's name for it is "bacterial SSU rRNA". It matches the Rfam family "Bacterial small subunit ribosomal RNA", at positions 28 to 493 of the family's 1533-position model. The record is from RNAcentral.